RNAcentral lists this ribosomal RNA (253 nucleotides) under uncultured bacterium. RNAcentral's name for it is "partial 16S ribosomal RNA". It matches the Rfam family "Bacterial small subunit ribosomal RNA", at positions 524 to 776 of the family's 1533-position model. The record is from RNAcentral.
UACGGAGGAUGCGAGCGUUAUCCGGAUUUAUUGGGUUUAAAGGGUGCGUAGGUUGUUUUUUAAGUCAGCGGUGAAAGUUUGUGGCUCAACCAUAAAAUUGCCGUUGAAACUGGCUGGCUUGAGUUGGGGAAAGGCAGGCGGAAUGCGCGGUGUAGCGGUGAAAUGCAUAGAUAUCGCGCAGAACCCCGAUUGCGAAGGCAGCAUACCGGUGCACAACUGACGCUCAGGCACGAAAGCGUGGGUAUCGAACAGG